RNA transcript from Abrus precatorius (Indian licorice), 2391 nucleotides. It is a transcript of the gene named la-related protein 1C-like, with no coding region annotated. The record is from RefSeq and is a predicted model, not a curated record. The transcript is spliced from 7 exons. NCBI's taxonomy places the organism in Eukaryota, Viridiplantae, Streptophyta, Magnoliopsida, Fabales, Fabaceae.
UGGGUUGUUUUGAGUCUAAAGGGGAGAGAGAGUAGUAAAAGAAGGGGAGGGAGAGAGAUCGCAGUUUUUGUGAUGAGAGGGUUCUUUCCCCAACUAAGAUCCGUUCUCGUCUCAUUCCACCCUUAGAAACCCUAAUUCACACAUUCAUAUCGUGUUUUUUUGCAGGUUUUUCAUUUUUAUGUAUUAAUUUACUGAUUCGUUUAUUGUUUGUUCAUGUCUUUGGUUCUAUAGUGAUCAAUCUUUGCACUUUGUUUUUUCACUCUGAAAAAAAGAAAAAGAAACCCUAAUUAUCAAUGGUUACGACUGCUAAAUCUUCUAACCAUCACUCGCCGCCUAGUGCUCCGUCAUCGGCGCAGCCCGGUGAAAGUAAUAGCCCUAAAUUCCAGCGGAAAAACCUUUCCUCUCCGUGGGCUCAGGUCGUUCGCGGCGGUGAGCCGGAAUCAGCGGCCAGCAUUCACCAAUCGCCGCCGCCGUCGUCAUCGUCGACGUCGUCCCUCGCUGCCGACCAAGCGCCGUCGUCUGAUUGUUCCCCAAGGGCGAUUCCGGCUUCGCCGCCGGUGGAUAAUUCUAAUUCGGGUGGUAUUGUAGAUAAUUCUGAUGGUAGUGAGGGCAAUGCGGGUCGUUCUAAGAGGCCCGCUUGGAACAAGGCUUCAAACGGCGGCGUCGAGGCUGGACCUGUAAUGGGCGCUGAAUCAUGGCCCGCUUUGUCUGCAUCCACCAAAGCUUCUGCUAAAUUGCCAGCUGACUCGUCCUCCAAGACUGUUGCCGAUGGAUCACUCUCCACUUCUCAGGGGUUGGUAACUUCGCAAUCUCCUCAGAAACAAGCUACUACUAAUGCAAAACCUAAUUCUGCAACAAAUUAUAGCAUGCCUAACAGACAAAGAUCAGUGAAGCGGGUGAGUGGCAGCAACCUUGGGUCUGGUCCUGCCCAGAGCAUUUUCUCCAACCCCCCCACAGCACCACCACCCCCACCAUUUCCUGUGUACCAGCUCCCUCCAGUUAGCUAUGCUAAUAUGGUACCAGUGAUUCCUGACCCUGCUCCAAGAGAUCAGUACCGGAGCAAUAACUGGGAUACUAGACCAUUAGUUGGGGGUUUUGUGCCUGCGAUGAAUGAGCAUCGGGGUUCUUCUCGCAGGGGUUAUUUUGGGCCCAAUCCACGAGGAGAUGGUUCCUAUCAUAAUAAUUAUGUUGGCAGACGGGAUCAGGAUCGUGGAAAUUACACGAAUACUAGAGAUGCUAAUGUACCCCAACCAAGGAUGCCUCCAAGAGGGUUACUGAGGCACCCACCACCUAGUACUGCUGCAUAUGUGGGCCCUCAGCCUAUUGGACCAUAUGCUAACCCUAUUGGAUUUCCUGAGUUGUAUUACUAUCCAACAGUACCAUUGGAUCACUUUAGGGGCAUGCCAUUCUAUGCUCCUCCUCCGCCUACAGCAUUCUUUCCUGCACCAGAAUCUCCUCUGUCCAAUAUGAUAGUCAAUCAAAUUGAAUAUUACUUUAGUGAUGCUAAUUUAGUGAGAGAUGAGUAUUUAAGAUCUAAGAUGGAUGAACAGGGUUGGGUUCCCGUUUCUUUGAUAGCAAGCUUCCCUCGACCAAUAUGGAUUAUUGAUGGUGGAAUCCUUAAGGAACUGGUCAAAAUUGACUGGGUGCUUGAGUGAGCUUUAGAUUCAUUGUUUGAUCUUCACCUUAUACUCUGGGAUCGUUUACAUGUCUCGGGCAGUUCAGCUAGUGGAUCACUAUUAUUAAUACAAACAUACAAGUUAUUGUAUCAUCAAGAAAAAUAAAGUUAGAAGUUUGACAAGCAGCACUCCGUUGAUAUUGGACUCCCUGAGAACUUCCACUAUUGUGGAAGUGCAGGGUGACAAGCUGAGGAGGCACAAUGAGUGGAUGAAAUGGCUGCCCUCUGCUCGGCAAAGUGCUGAUUCUGGUUCAGUAUCUCCUGUUGGAGCAAGACACAAUAACUUGGCAGCUGAUUUUCAAACUAAUACUCUGGAAGAAACAACUAAAGAUGAAGGUCCAACCAGUCAGUCUCAACUCUCAAAUGGCGGUGAUGCUACAGGGAGCAGCAGUUAAAACUGUACUUACAUAAUUUACACCACCCUAAAUUUCUUACCUUAUCCAGUGUCCAGUAUUCAGCCAUGUGGUCGUUGAUUUUAAGAGUUUUCCUUUUUUCCCAUUUUUUUAGGUAAUGAGAGCAGAGACUUGUAGAAGUUGAUUCUACAGUCUCGAUUUUGAUAGAAAUUGAGUCAGGUAGUGGUGACAAAUAAGAAUUAUUCACUAUUCUUACGGUCUAAAGAAAAAAAGAGAGAGAGAGAGAGAGAAGUAAUCAGACAUAAAAAAGAUACUCCAGAAUUUUGAUUGAGGCGGAUUUAAUGAGAUUAUUAAUUUGUAUAG